Non-coding RNA from Phalacrocorax carbo (great cormorant), 3378 nucleotides. The record is from RefSeq and is a predicted model, not a curated record. Lineage: Eukaryota; Metazoa; Chordata; Aves; Suliformes; Phalacrocoracidae.
GCCGGGGCCGCUCGGCGCGGGCCGGCCCCGGACACUUGGGCACGGCGCGGGGCGGGCGGGGGCGGAGAGGGGCGGCUCGGCUCGGCUCGGCUCGGCUCGGCUCGGCUCGGCGCGGCCCCACCGGCACUCGGCUGGACGCUCUUGCUCGGCACUGCCGCAGCCGCGCAGCCCGCGGGGACGAGAGAGCCAAGCUGCCAUGGGGAGCUGCGGCACAUGGGCAUGGCAGGAGCUGCUGGUGCUGCUAAGCAGCCUGUGGCUCUGGGUGGGCAGUGCCCAGCCCACGCCCCCGGGCCCCACACACGCCCCCGGACCCCAGCUGAAGUUUCGCCUGGCUGGCUACCCACGCAAGCACAACGAGGGCCGUGUCGAGGUCUUCUACAACGACGAGUGGGGCACCAUCUGCGACGAUGACUUCACGUUAGCCAACGCGCAUGUGCUGUGCCGGCACCUCGGCUUUGUGGCCGCCACUGGCUGGGCCCACAGUGCCAAGUAUGGCAAAGGCGUCGGGCGGAUCUGGCUGGACAAUGUGAAUUGUGCCGGAGGUGAGAAGAGCAUUGGGGACUGCAAACACCGGGGCUGGGGGAACAGCGACUGCAGCCAUGAGGAAGAUGCAGGUGUCAUCUGCAAGGACGAGCGCAUCCCAGGCUUCAAGGACUCCAAUGUCAUUGAGACCGAGCAGAGCCACGUGGAGGAGGUCCGCCUGCGGCCGGUGGUGUCUGGGGCCCGGAGGCAGCUGCCGGUGACGGAGGGCAUCGUGGAGGUGCGCUACAAGGAUGGCUGGGCACAGAUCUGCGACGAGGGCUGGGACAGCCAAAACAGCCGUGUCGUCUGUGGCAUGAUGGGCUUCCCUGCUGAGAAGAAGGUGAACAGGAACUUCUACAAGCAGGCCAAAUCUCAGCCUAAACAAAAGCGCAGGGAGGACAUAGGGUCCAAGAAGAGGCUCUUCUCGGAGCGGCAGCAGCUCAACUACCGCCUGCACUCUGUGUCCUGCACGGGGACGGAGGUGCACCUCUCCAUGUGCACCUUCGAGUUCUACCGGGGCAAUGCCUCAGCCGCCUGCGGGGCUGGCAUGCCCGCUGUCGUCAGCUGCGUGCCUGGGCCCCUCUUUGCCACUGGCAAUGCCCACAAGAAGAAGCAGCGCCAACAGCAGCAGGGCCAGCCGCGGAUCCGGCUGAAGGGCGGCGCGAAGGUCGGCGAGGGCCGCGUCGAGGUGCUCAAGAACAGCGAGUGGGGCACGAUCUGUGACGACCGCUGGAACCUGCUGUCAGCCAGCGUGGUGUGCCGUGAGCUGGGCUUCGGCAGCGCCAAGGAGGCCCUCACCGGCGCACGCAUGGGCCAAGGGACGGGGCCCAUCCACAUGAACGAGGUGCAGUGCCUGGGCACCGAGAAGUCCCUUUGGAGCUGCCCCUUCAAGAACAUCACACAAGAGGACUGCAAGCACACAGAGGAUGCAGCCAUCCGCUGCAACAUCCCCUACAUGGGCUACGAGAACCUGAUCCGCCUAGCCGGUGGGAGGACAGCGUUUGAGGGCCGCGUGGAGGUGAAGCGAGGCAGUAAGUGGGGCACGGUGUGCAGCGAUGGCUGGACCACCAAGGAGGCGAUGGUGGCCUGUCGCCAGCUUGGCCUGGGCUACUCCCUGCACGCAGUGACGGUAGGUGCCGGCGGGGAGGCCCCUGGUGACACCCCAGCGAGCACAGGCACCGGAGCUUCCCUGACGGCUGCAGGGGGGCAAAGGGAUGCGGCCGCUCCGUGCUGUGGGAUGGGACCCUUGCGGGCAGCCUGGGUACGUGGGCAGCGCUGCGGCAUGGCUAGGUGCUGGCUGCAGCCUGGGUGCGUGCGAGCCGUGUCACCCACAGUAGCCAGCCCUGCCACCCAGUCUGUCUCACCUCCUCCCCAGGAGACGUGGUACUGGGAUGCCAGCAACGUGACAGAGAUGGUGCUCAGCGGGGUGAAGUGCGCCGGCCAUGAGAUGUCCCUGAGCCACUGCCAGCACCACAGCGCCAGCCUGAACUGCAAGAACACGGGCACCCGCUUCGCCGCAGGCGUCAUCUGCUCUGAGACCGCCUCCGACCUGCUGCUGCACGCCCCGCUGGUGCAGGAGACAGCGUACAUUGAGGACCGUCCGCUGCACAUGCUGUACUGCGCCGCCGAGGAGAACUGCCUCUCCAGCUCGGCCCGCCUGGCCAACUGGCCCUAUGGGCACCGGCGCCUGCUCCGCUUCUCCUCCCAGAUCCACAACAACGGCCGCGCUGACUUCCGCCCCAAGGCCGGACGGCACUCCUGGGUCUGGCACGAGUGCCACCGGCACUACCACAGCAUGGAUAUCUUCACCCAUUACGACAUCCUGACCCCCAAUGGCACUAAGGUGGCGGAGGGACACAAGGCCAGCUUCUGCCUCGAGGACACCGAGUGCGAGGAAGCAGACGUGGCCAAGCGGUACGAGUGUGCCAACUUUGGGGAGCAGGGCAUCACUGUGGGCUGCUGGGACCUGUACCGGCACGACAUCGACUGCCAGUGGAUCGACAUCACUGAUGUCAAGCCAGGCAACUACAUCCUGCAGUGCCCCACAGGUCGUGAUCAACCCCAACUUUGAGGUGGCAGAGAGCGACUUCACCAACAAUGCCAUGAAAUGCAACUGCAAGUACGACGGGCACCGCAUCUGGGUGCACAGCUGCCACAUCGGUGAUGCACUCAGUGAGGAGGCCAACAAGCGGUUUGAGCAGUACCCAGGUCAGCUCAACAACCAGAUCUCAUAGGGCCCCAGCCCCUGGGGAGACAGGCAUCCCCCUCCCUCACCAUGCACAGGUGGGAGGAAGCUGCUGGGGGGCCAGCGGGGAAGCCUCACGCCUGGCACCGCCGCCAUCGUGCCCUGCUGGGGACUGCCCAGGACUCUCGCUGUCACCAGCUGCCCUUCCCCACCUUGGGGAGCUGGUGCUGGAGGCACUGCACACCUGCACCUCCCAGCCUGGGGCCACCAGCCCAACCACUGGCCAGAAGACUCUGUGCCCACAGCCCCCGGGCUGCGGCACAUGGGUACGGUCUGGGAGGUCCUGUACCCCCACCAUGGCCCCCUCUGCUCCCAGUCCCUGCCGUCCCAGCUGCACCCCACCUCCUGCUCCCCCAUCCUGCCCUGGUUCCUCUCAGCCCCAGAGCCCUCCCUAGGGCUCUGCCCUCAGCUGGCCCGCCCCAGGACCCACUGCCCACACAGGGACUCACCCCUGCACAGCACCGGCUGAGCCCCCAGGAGCCCCUUACCCGCAGGGGAUGGUGUGGCUGCCCCUGCCCUGGCAGCACUGCCUCCAGCUGCCCGGCAGCAGCUCCCACACCCAUCUCUUAGUUGUAAUUUUAUUUUCUCUAUAAAGUUGUUAGUUCUAUUUC